The submitters of this non-coding RNA (59 nucleotides) gave its source as unclassified sequences. The record is from Rfam.
AUCGUUCAAUCUAAGUAUUUCUUAGAUCGGAAGUAGGUCUGUGACUGAAGGAACGCAUG